GGCCCGUUGGCUCAGGUGGUUGGAGCGCGGUGCUCCUAACGCCGAGGUUGCCGGUUCGAUUCCCACAUGGGCCA
This is a non-coding RNA of Rhinolophus ferrumequinum (greater horseshoe bat), 74 nucleotides long. NCBI's taxonomy places the organism in Eukaryota, Metazoa, Chordata, Mammalia, Chiroptera, Rhinolophidae. The record is from the annotation of a RefSeq genome assembly.